RNAcentral lists this ribosomal RNA (253 nucleotides) under uncultured bacterium. RNAcentral describes it as "partial 16S ribosomal RNA". It matches the Rfam family "Bacterial small subunit ribosomal RNA", at positions 524 to 776 of the family's 1533-position model. The record is from RNAcentral.
GACGUAGGGCGCGAGCGUUGUCCGGAUUUAUUGGGCGUAAAGAGCUCGUAGGCGGCUUGUCGCGUCGUUCGUGAAAACCCGGGGCUCAACUCCGGGCUUGCGGGUGAUACGGGCAGGCUAGAGUUCGGUAGGGGAGACUGGAAUUCCUGGUGUAGCGGUGAAAUGCGCAGAUAUCAGGAGGAACACCGGUGGCGAAGGCGGGUCUCUGGGCCGAUACUGACGCUGAGGAGCGAAAGCGUGGGGAGCGAACAGG